This 7967-nucleotide long non-coding RNA is filed under the name Homo sapiens (human). RNAcentral describes it as "non-protein coding SH3TC2-DT:29". The record is from RNAcentral. Lineage: Eukaryota; Metazoa; Chordata; Mammalia; Primates; Hominidae.
ACAGCUCCUGCACUGUCAGGCCUGGGGAACAGGGCUCCUCCCUGCCUCUCAGCAGAUCGCUUCAUGCCUAUCAGCCUGCAGCACAUUCCUCGCAUUCUAGGAUUGAGAUACACAGUUUGGUUCUUGUGAGGGCAGCCAGGGCUGGGGAGGAGGGCAGAGAACAUCCCAGAGAUCAAGACUGCUCUUCUUGCUCCCUCCCCGACUGACUUGGCCCACACUGACUGGCCUGCCACCCCUUUACAGUGAUCUCCACCCAGUCUCUCUCUGCAAAGGCCUCCCUUGGCUCUCUGAUAAAGUUGGAGCUGUGGGUGCAGCAUUUCACUUGGACCUAGCAGCAUCAAUGAGCCAGCUCCUCACUGGGGAACAUGCAAACCCCCAGCUGCUGGUGUGCAGGAAAAGAAUCCAGGAGAUCACCUGAUGAAGCCCAGCAUUUUACAGGCAGUGGAGCAGGGGAAUCCAGUUGACACUGUGGCUAAAUUUCAGAAAACCUCCCAUGAGAUCUUGCAAAGGAGAUGGAGAAAAUAUGGCUGAAUGCCAGCAAGAGCAAAGUGGUGAAAGGACCCUGGUGAGAGGCCCAAAGAACAGGAGGUGUGAGCCAAGAGAAGGUCCUGCCAGGCCUAUGUUGCAGGCUAUUUGGAGGCUGAACUUGAGGAAACUUCAGUCUUCAGUCUUAAGGCCUUCAACUGAUUGGAAGGCCCCCAGUCAGCUAGUGGGAAGACCCAUGCACAUUAGAGAGGGUUGACGCAGAAUUAACUGUUGCAUGAGAUGUGGGGUAUGAGAGAAGGCCUGAGUACCUAGAAGGAUUGGGAUGCCAUGAACUGACAGAGGUUGUGUAAUAGUGUGAUAUAAUAAGAAAUACAUGGUGGGCAUGGUGGCUCAAGCCUGUAAUCCCAGCACCUUGGCCACCACUGCAGGACCAUUGCUUGAGUUCAGGAGUUUGAGACCAACCUGGACAAUAUAGUGAGACCUCACCUCAAAAAAAAAAAAAGAAGAAGAAGAGGAAAUACAUAUUUGAUCUCUGCCCCUGGUUCUUGAGACAGAGCUCCUAAAACUUUUAUGAUUCCCUAAGUGACAAGAUCACCUGAUGCAGAGCUCCUAAAUCCCUUGGAAUUUCCUGGAGGACAGGAGCAUCUUUUGUUCUAAAGGUCACUCUUGGUGGACUCCUCAAUAGCCUCAUGAUGGGGGCUGGUAGCCAGGGGAAUCAACCGUGUGAUUACAGUAGAACUUUCAAACCCCACUGACCUGACCUCUGGGGAAGAGAGGGGGUGCUAAAGAUGAGCUAAUCACCAAUGGUCAAUGAUUUAAUCAGUCAUGCUACACAAUGAAGCCUCUAUAAAACCCCAAAAGGACAGGGUUCAGAGAGCUUCCUGGUUGAUGAAUCAGUAGAGGUGCUGGGAGGAUGGCACACCUGGAGAGGGCAUGGCACUCUGUGCCCCUUCCCACAUACCUUACAUUAUGCCUCUCUUCCAUCUGGCGUUCAUCCACAUCCUUUUGUAAUAUCCUUUAUAAUAAAUGGGUAAAUGUAAGUCAAGUGUUAGUCUGAGUUCUGUGAGAUGCUCUAACAAAUUAAUCAAACACAAAGAAAGGAUCAUGGGAACCCUUGAUUUAUAGCUAGCUGGUCAGAAAUACAGAUCACAACCAGGGGCUUGUGACUGACACCUGAAGUGGAGGGCAAUUUUGUGGGACUGGGCUCUUAAACCGUGGGAUCUGACACUAUCUUCAGGUAGAUGGUGUCAUAACUGAACUGAAUUAUAGGACACCCAGUUGGUGUCUGCUGGAGAAUUGCUUGGUAUGUGAGGAAAAAAACAGACACAUUUUGGUGAGAAGCAAUAAAAUACUCUACAUGCUGUGUUGAGUGUUGUAUCAUGUGCCCCAGUAGGAAUAACAGCUUGUUUUUCCUAUUGUUACAAUUGGCACUGGAUCUAUCUCAUAUAGGGGACAGGAGGAGGCCUGCCAGGAGAGCAGGCUUGGCUGAGUGGGUAGGUGAGGUGGAACUGUUCACAAGUCUGGUAUUUAGGGGAAAGGUCUCUAUGGAAAAUACAAACUUGGGAACCAUCAGUAUAUAGAUAUAUAUUCGAUAUGAAAAUGAAGUUAACACUUCUCAACAGGAAAAACAAAGUUUUUUGGAGGAGGUGGCAUGUGAUUGGGGACCUUGAAAGAUGGGAUUUUCAUAGUCAGAAAUAGGUGGGAAGACAAUCCCAGAUUAAGAAAGAGCCAUUAUCAAUGCUAGGAUUCACAUUGAGGCUAGUUUAGGGAACAUUUUUUCAGUUUGAAUGAGCAGAGGACUGAUUUUGGAGGGAGCCAGUGGCAGAAAUAUGAGCAGAAUAUUAGCCUUGUGACUUGCUGUACACUCAUGCAUCUAUCUACGAAUUCAUCAGACACCACUGGUUACCUUAAAAGCUGUGUUUGUUGUGGACAUUAACAACAACAAUCAUAAAUGCAUAUUGAGCCCUUAUCAUGUGCUCAUGUGAAAAUUCCUCACUUAAUAUUCACCCCCAACUAAAAAUAAGGAAAGUAAGAGUCUGAGUGAUUUUCUCCAGUUCUGUCUGCCGGUCAGAUUGGAACAAAGGCAGUGUGACCCCAGAGCCUUUGCCUUACCACUCAGCUCUACUUCUUUGUCAGAAACACCAAACCAGGCAUCUGUGGUGGUGGGGCCUGGCAGCCACCAGAAAUAUAGACUACUAAGUCUUGGGCAAGGCUUCCUCCUGACUUUCUUCUGUAUGAGAUGUGAAACCUGCCCUCUCCAGGGGUCAGCUGAGGAACCAGCAGUGGUAGCUCCAGGAAAGAAGGUAGGGCUGCUGACCAGGGCUUAGGUCACCAAGCUGCUGACUCUGACUCACCUGGGAAAGCUGACUGGCUUUUAAAGCAUCCACUCCCCAUUUUGUGUCUCCUAUGGGCAAACCUGAGGUCAAGGGCAGAAAACCAAAGCAUCACCCUGGAAGGUUAGCACCGAAAGUGCCCUUGAACAGUAAUGUGUCUAUUCCUCUACUCCUUAUCUCCUCCAAACCCAUUUAAGACCAUAGAGGCUAUGUUCCUUGUCCUACAUUGUCUUGGAAGGUUUGUGACAAAUCCUAUACUAGAGCUCAAAUAUGAGGACUUUCAUGUUCAGUGUGCUUCCACAAAAGAUGCUAACAUGAAUUAGUUCCUGGUUUGAAAGGAAUAGUAUCAACAACAAAAAGGGCGUCCACUCAGAGACCCCAUCUGAAGGUCACCAACAUCAAAGACCAAAGGUAGAUAAAUUCACGAAGAUGGGGAGAAACCAGCUCAAAAAGCCUGAAAAUUCCAAAAACCAGAAUGCCUCUUCUACUCCAAAGGUUCACAACUCCUCACCAGCAAGGGAACAAAACUGGACAGAGAAUGAGUUUGACGAAUUGACAGAAGUAGGCUUCAGAAGGUGGGUAAUAACAAACUCCUCCGAGCUAAAGGAGCAUGCUCUAACCCAAUGCAGGGAAGCUAGGAACCUUGAAAAAAGGUUAGACAAAAUGCUAACUAGAAUAACCAGUUUAGAGAAGAAUAUAAAUGACCUGAUGCAGCUGAAAAACACAUGAAUUAGUUCCUGUUUUAAAAUUAGGUUUCCUGGUGAGCAGGCUGGAAUAGAAUCAAGUGUGUGUGUGUGCAUGCAUGUGUGUGUGUGUGUAUCUGUGUGUGUGCCAAGUUCAUGAUACAAGCCCAGGACUGACACUCCCUACCACUCCCAGGGAAAGGAAUUUCUCCUAAGUUCAACUUGUCUUUCAGGAAAAUUUAGAUUUUAAGCAUCUGACCCAGUAAAUGGGACAGGAAAGAGGAGCCCUGCCAUCCAGUGAGUCCUGCUCAGGUGUCUUUCCUGGAGAAACACUCACACCUGUGUAGCAAGAGGCCUGUGCAAGAAAGCCAACAGCAGCAUCACAAGAAAUAGUGAGGAGUGGAAGGAACUCAAAUGCCCAUCAAUACAGGAGUGAUUAUCCAGCAGUUAAAAUGAAUGAAGUGGGUCUUCACAGAGUCAAGGAAAGAUCCCUAAGACAUUAUUACACAAGGAAGAAGGAGAAGAAAAGAAAGUUGGCAAUACAAUGCAUACAAUAUGAUCCCAUUUGUGAAAAAGAAAGAACAUCCCAACCAUAUGUGUGUAUGUAGAAAGUAGAUCCUCUUGCCUGAUAAUUUCAAUGGAUUUAAUUCCACAAUUGUGCACCGAGUGCCCUCUUUGUGCAGGCCUUGUAAUCCAUAAGGAAAUCAUCUAGCAGGGAGAAGUGUAGGCAACAUCCCUGCCCUCUAGUAGCUGGAUAAGGGAGGGGUAAAUCAUGCCUGAGCCAGCAGAGCAUACCUGAGCCCCCAGAGCCAUAACCAACCCCAUACCUCACCCCUCAGAAUCAGUGUCAGCCCAGGAGAGUAGCCACAACCCCAGCAUUCAAGCCCAUGUGUCACCAAGCCCCUUGGGGAUCCAGAGAUGGUCUCACCAGAGCAGCUGCACCUCUGAUGCCUGAGCAGAUGUGGUGCCCUACCCCCUAGGGAAACAGAGUCUUGGCUGUUCUAUUUCACCCUACCCUUUGGGCUGUGCAACUGCAGAGCUCCAUCUUCUCGGAUCUGAACCAGCCCUCUGGAGUCUGAGCUGCUGAGGUGUUGCACCUCCCCAAGGUAUUGAGCUAUCAUUGCCCUGCUCCCCACCUCCUAGAGCCCAAGCCACAGCUGUGCACCUCCAUUCUAGGAAUUCUCUGCCACUGCACCUGGACUUACACACCCUGGGCCACUGUCGUGUUCCACCUCUGCAGAGUCCAGAGUCACCAUGAUGUGCUACUUCCUCUCCUGAUGCCUGAGUUGCCACUGUACCCUAUCGGCUCUAGGCCCAAGUUUCUGGAACACUCCUUCCUCCCCAGAGCCAUACCAGUGCUGUGCCCUGACCCCCAGCAUCAGAGUCACAGCUACACACCUGACCCCUGGGCCCAAGCUACUGGGGAGUGGCUCAGAGUAACAGUCCUCUGUUUAGUGCAGGAGCUUCAUCCACUUGUCACAGAGAGUGAACACCCACCUUACAGGUUCUACAACAGUACAACAAGACAUUGAAGCCAGGACCCAAACUCCACAGCUACUCCAAGCAGCUGUAGUCUGGAACACAGAACCACUGUGGCUGCCUGUGGCCUGUGUCAGACCCAACACCAAGAGGGAUCCCCUCAGCUACUUCUUCCCACUGUGGGAAAAAAAAAAACAAGAGGACCCCCCCCGCAAAGACUUUUCCACUGAGAGCUCUAACAACCGACCCUGCCACCACUGCUGCUACAAACUCUUGGAGCCUCAGCCACUGAUUCAGCUGCAGUUAUCAAUGAUGUCAAUCACAACUGAAAAAAACCUCAUGGAGACUGCUCUACUGCACCCACCUGGAACCAGAGCCAACACACAACCAACCUAGGACUCAUAUGCCAGUAAAAAUCUUUCCCUAUGAAAGCUACUCUAAAAUUGGAGAUGACUAUUUCAUCAGAGGCACAGACAUCAACACAGGGACACAAGAAGCAUGGAAAAGUAAGAAAAUAUGACAUGAUCAAAGGAACAUAAUUCUCCAUUAACUGACCCUAAAGAAAUUAAACUUCACAAAUUUCCCAAAAAGUAAUCAAAACAAUGAUCUUAAGGAAACUCAGUGAGAUACAAUAGAAUACAGAUAGAAAAUUCAAUGAAAUCAGGAGAACAACUCAUGAUCUGACUGACAAAUUCAACAAAAAGAUAGAUAUAAUUUAAAAAGAACCAAACAGAAAUCUUGGAGCUGAAGAAUUCAAUGUAUGAAAUAAAAAAAAAAAUACAGUUGAGAACUUCAACAGAAUAGAUCAAGCAGAAGAAAACGUCUCUGAACUUAAAGAUAAGCCUCUUGAGAGAAGAAUCAAAUAGACGCAAUAAAAAAUAAUAAAUGGGAUAUCACCACCGAUCCCACAGAAAUACAAACUACCAUCAGAGAAUGCUAUAAACACCUCUACGCAAAUAAACUAGAAAAUCUAGAAGAAAUGGAUACAUUCCUCGACACAUACACCCUCCCAAGACUAAACCAGGAAGAAGUCGAAUCUCUGAAUAGACCAAUAACAGGCUCUGAAAUUGAGGCAAUAAUUAAUAGCUUACCAACCAAAAAAAGUCCAGGACCAGACGGAUUCACAGCCAAAUUCUACCAGAGGUACAAAGGGGAGCUGGUACCAUUCCUUCUGAAACUAUUCCAAUCAAUAAAAAAAGAGAGAAUCCUCCCUAACUCAUUUUAUGAGGCCAGCAUCAUACUGAUACCAAAGCCUGGCAGAGACACAACAAAAAAAGAGAAUUUUAGACCAAUAUCCCCGAUGAGCAUCGAUGAAAAAAUCCUCAAUAAAAUACUGGCAAAACGAAUCCAGCAGCACAUCAAAAAGCUUAUCCACCAUGAUCAAGUGGGCUUCAUCCCUGGGAUGCAAGGCUGGUUCAACAUAUGCAAAUCAAUAAACAUAAUCCAGCAUAUAAACAGAACCAACGACAAAAACCACAUGAUUAUCUCAAUAGAUGCAGAAAAGGCCUUUGACAAAAUUCAACAACACUUCAUGCUAAAAACUCUCAAUAAAUUAGGUAUUGAUGGGACGUAUCUCAAAAUAAUAAGAGCUAUCUAUGACAAACCAGCAGCCAAUAUCAUACUGAAUGGGCACAAACUGGAAGCAUUCCCUUUGAAAACUGGCACAAGACAGGGAUGCGCUCUCUCACCACUCCUAUUCAACAUAAUGUUGGAAGUUCUGGCCAGGAAAAUCAGGCAGGAGAAGGAAAUAAAGGGUAUUCAAUUAGAAAAAGAGGAAGUCAAAUUGUCCCUGUUUGCAGAUGACAUGACUGUAUAUCUAGCAAACCCCAUCGUCUCAGCCCAAAAUCUCCUUAAGCUGAUAAGCAACUUCAGUAAAGUCUCAGGAUAAAAAAUCAAUGUGCAAAAAUCACAAGCAUUCUUAUACACCAAUAACAGACAAACAGAGAGCCAAAUCAUGAGUGAACUCCCAUUCACAAUUGCUUCAAAGAGAAUAAAAUACCUAGGAAUCCAACUCACAAGGGAUGUGAAGGACCUCUUCAAGGAGAACUACAAAGCACUGCUCAAUGAAAUAAAAGAGGAUACAAAGAAAUGGAAGAACAUUCCAUGCUCAGGGGUAGGAAGAAUCAGUAUCGUGAAAAUAGCCAUACUGCCCAAGGUAAUUUAUAGAUUCAAUGCCAUCCUCAUCAAGCUACCAAUGACUUUCUUUACAGAAUUGGAAAAAACUACUUUAAAGUUCAUAUGGAUCCAUAAAAGAGCCCGCAUUGCCAAGUCAUUCCUAAGCCAAAAGUACAAAGCUGCAGGCAUCACACUACCUGACUUCAAACUAUACUACCAGGCUACAGUAACCAAAACAGGAUGGUACUGGUACCAAAACAGAGAAAAAGACCAAUGGAACAGAACAGAGCCCUCAGAAAUAAUGCUGCAUAUCUACAACUAUCUGAUCUUUGACAAACCUGACAAAAAGCAGAAAUGGGGAAAGGAUUCCCUAUUUAAUAAACGGUGCUGAGAAAACUGGCUAGCCAUAUGUAGAAAGCUGAAACUGGAUCCCUUCCUUACACCUUAUACAAAAAUUAAUUCAAGAUGGAUUAAAGACUUAAAUGUUAGACCUAAAACCAUAAAAACCCUAGAAAAAAACCUAGGCAAUACCAUUCAGGACAUAGGCAUAGGCAAGGACUUCUUGUCUAAAACACCAAAAGCAAUGGCAACGAAAGCCAAAAUUGACAAAUGGGAUCUAAUUAAAUUAAAGAGCUUCUGCACAGCAAAAGAAACUACCAUCAGAGUGAACAGGCAACCUACAGAAUGGGAGAAAAUUUUUGCAAUCUACUCAUCUGACAAAGGGCUAAUAUCCAGAAUCUACAAUGAACUCAAACAAAUUUACAAGAAAAAAACAACCCCAUCAACAAGUGGGCGAAGGAUAUGAACAGACAUUUCUCAAAAGAAGACAUUUAUGCAGCCAAAAGACACAUGAAAAAAUGCUCAUCAUCAC